Long non-coding RNA from Vombatus ursinus (common wombat), 2102 nucleotides. The record is from Ensembl. NCBI's taxonomy places the organism in Eukaryota, Metazoa, Chordata, Mammalia, Diprotodontia, Vombatidae.
CCGAGGAGGGCACGGGGCCGUCGGACACGGCCCCCGGGGGCAGCUCUGAGCCGGUGGCCGCGGCAGGUGUGGGCCGAGAGGAGUCUGGAGCGCGGGCUGGCGAGGAGGAGGGUCCCCGGCGGGCAGAGGGGAAGCCCGUCCAGGUGGCCACGCCCAUAGUGUUCCCAUCCACGUCAGCAGAGAGAGAAGACGGGAGGAAGGAGGAGCGCAAGACCCGCGUGGGUCUUUUCCACCAUCACCACCAUGGGGCAGGCCGCAGGGGCUCCCUCGGGGAGAAGAUGGGCCUGGCCCUGGGUGCCUCCCUACACCCUUCCUCCAGUGGGGAGGAGAAAGGCAGGAGCGGCUGGUUUGGUUCCCGAGAGGGGAAGGAGCACACCCAGAAGCCCAGCGGCUCGCUGGUAGCGGCCCCCACUGCGCCCUCCCUGCCGGAGUGGGACGACACCUUCGACGCCUUUGCCGCCAGCAGGCUGCCCCCCGAUGCUGGGCACGGACUCUCGGCCCCAGCCGCAGAGAGGGGGGCCUUGGGAGCGCUCCAGGCCGGCGAUGAUGACGUGCAGAUGGCAGGGUCUCAGGAAGCUCCCAGGGGAGGGGGAGGAGGCUCAGUAUCGGCGCCAGAGGCUUCCGGACCCCUGAGUCUUGACGGCUGGAGUGUGGCCCCUGCUGGCUGGGAGUCACCUGUGUUUCGAGGACCCAGCCCCUCCUUAGCAGCCGAAUGGCCCUCACCGAGCCGGGAGCCAGAGGAGGAGACCCCCUGCCAGCGUCAGGAAGCGGACCAACACCCAGAAGCCCCUGAGGCUGCUUGUCCCAGGCCCCGAAGAAGAGUGAGCGCUGAGCAGGAGAGGUCGCCUAACCCCGGAGCAUCCACGGAGCCUGAGGAAGAGCCCAGGAGCGUGGAAAGCCACUUUUUCCAAGAGUUGAAUGUGGUUACUGAUCUCUGGUCAUCAGAGAUGGUAAACAUCCCUCCUGUGUCCAGGAGCCCCCCUCCCAUCCCAAAGAGAAGCUGGGAGCAAGAAGAGAGCCUUUGGGGGGCUCUGGAUGAACCCCCCGGCCUUCAGGAGCCAGGAUCCCCAGGGCCACCUCCAGACUCUGCAGGAGACGUGGACAGAGAAGUCUUCUCACCACCCCCUGACAAAGGGGAGGGGUCCCCUGCACCAGAACCUGGCUCUCCUCCACCCAAGCCACCACGCCUUUUCACACCCAUGAAUUCCCAGAAUGAAGAGGAAGAAAUGAACCCAGGGGAGCUGAGCAGAGAAGGGACAGAACUGUGUGUCGAAGACAUCUGCCCAGGCCUUCCGGCUCUCCACCACCAGGAUGAGAUGGAGGGGGGUGCCUUGGGUGUGGAAGAGCUCGAGAUCUGCCCCACUGUAGACCGUCCAGACCAACGUGCUUCAGAAGGGGACUCUGUCAGCUGCUGGGACCCGGUUCCCCGGGUCCCUGAGCCCGGCUCUCCACCAGCUGUCCUGGAUGUCCCUUCCCCAACACUCACCUCACAGAGCAAAGCUGGCCAGAGCCAGCAUUUCUGGGCAGUUCAGGAAGCAGAGUCUCAAUUCCUUGGCAUGUUGGGGACCCUCCAAGACAAACCUGAGCCCCCUGGCCCCCUGGUGACUGCUGGUUUGGAGAAAGAUCCUUUCUGGGCUUCUGAUGAUGAUGAUGAUGACACCUUGAGCUCCUCCUUACCUCGUGGGAGCCCAGCUUCCACCAUCCUUCCAGCCUUGCUUUCUGCUGGGGAUGAAGCUUCUCCAGAAUCUCCCAGCCUAGAACUUGUGGCCCCUCAGGAUCCCCUCCUUGCUCCUCCCCUCCCUCCCCCUCUCCCUUCUCCAUGCCCAGCCACUAAUGUGAGCAGGAAGCCUGGCCAAGAAUCCCUCUCUCUGCAUGGAAGCCGGCCCUUCUCCUUCUCUACCCCGGCCCCGAUGGACUUCCCUGCAACCCGAGGCCCCUUCGAGUUCCCCUCGCCCAUCGAGGGCUCCUCGAGCCCACAGUGGGGCAUCGAGACCCCUUCCACCCUGCUUGCGCUUCUGCCCCUGGAGACACGACCAGCUGAGGAGCCUUCGAGCCAGCCUGGCGCCAGGUGAGGGGCAGGGGGGUGGGGCUUUUCCUAGGCA